AAAAGCAAAAUUCAGGAUACUUUUGUAGGUAGACACGUCAGAUAUUAUACAAAAUUAGCUUAAAUAUUCAAACACUGUAAAAUGAGAGGCAGAUAGGAUAUUGUCUCCAAAGAGGACAUAGUGAAAACGAUACUUUGAAAUGACAAAUAGUCAAAUAUGGGCAUAACUUUUUCAUAUUAGAGAAACCUUAUUGCCUAGACAAAUGUAGUAGUAGUGUGUAUUUUACUUCUAAGAAUUUAGUGACUAAAGUACAGUGCCUUCCCCAUCAUGUUCUCAUAAUAAAAGCUCAUAUUCUGUGAACAUUUUACACUUUUUUUGAGAUGGAGUCUCCCUCUGGCACCCAGGCUGGAGUGCAGUUGUGCCAUCUCGGCUCGCUGUAAGCUCUGCCUGCUGAGUUCAAGCAAUUCUCCUGCCUCAGCUUCCUGAGCAGCUGGGAUUACAGGCACCUGCCGCCACGCCCGGCUAAUUUUUGUAUUUUUAGUAGAGACAGGCUUUCACUAUGUUGGCCAGGCUGGUCUCAAACUCCUGACCUCAAGUAAUCUGCUGGCCUCGGCCUCUCAAAGUGUUGAGAUUACAGGCGUGAGCCACUGCGUCUGGCCUACACUUUUUAAUUCUCUGAUUUCAUGAAGAGUUCUUAACUCCCCCCAGCUAAUGCUAAAAAUGUGUCCUGGUUCUUACACAGGCACUGCUAGUAACGUGGCAACCUGAGCCUGUUCCCAGGCUCAAUUCACAGGAGCCCAUGUUCAGCGGUUAUUUAAUAGCUUUGAAAUGCCAUUCACCUGUGGCCCAUUUCAAGUUUCCCAUGAUUCUUAGGAAGACCCUGGCCUCCAUCUUGAAAACGGAAAAUAAAAACAGCAGACCUAUGAAGGUCGAAGGGGAAGAAAAGCUGUAUCGAUUGUUGAGAUCUGGCGACUUGUUUAAAUUUCAUCAGCCUCACUUCUAUGAACUCUCAGGAAAUUCUUCCUGGAAUCCUGUAGUAAACUUUCAGA
Pan paniscus (pygmy chimpanzee) is the source of this 989-nucleotide long non-coding RNA. The record is from Ensembl. NCBI's taxonomy places the organism in Eukaryota, Metazoa, Chordata, Mammalia, Primates, Hominidae.